UGGGGUGUAGUUCAAUUGGCAGAGCGCCUGGUUGUUACCCAGGAAGUUGGAGGUUCGACUCCUCUCGCCCCAGCCA
Molecule: transfer RNA, 76 nt
Filed under: Leptolyngbya sp. PCC 7375
Lineage: Bacteria; Bacillati; Cyanobacteriota; Cyanophyceae; Leptolyngbyales; Leptolyngbyaceae
Also listed under: 7 other names
Description: tRNA-Asn
Rfam family: tRNA
About the family: Transfer RNA (tRNA) molecules are approximately 80 nucleotides in length. Their secondary structure includes four short double-helical elements and three loops (D, anti-codon, and T loops).
Source: RNAcentral